This 1058-nucleotide ribosomal RNA is filed under the name uncultured organism. RNAcentral describes it as "bacterial SSU rRNA". It matches the Rfam family "Bacterial small subunit ribosomal RNA", at positions 374 to 1462 of the family's 1533-position model. The record is from RNAcentral.
GGCGAAAGCCUGACGCAGCAACGCCGCGUGGAGGAUGAAGGCCCUUCGGGUUGUAAACUCCUUUUCUGUGGGAAGAGGAAGGACGGUACCACAGGAAGAAGUCUCGGCUAACUACGUGCCAGCAGCCGCGGUAAAACGUAGGAGGCGAGCGUUAUCCGGAUUUACUGGGUGUAAAGCGCGUGCAGGCGGUCUGGUAAGUCGAGCGUGAAAGCUCCCGGCUCAACCGGGAGAGGACGUGCGAAACUGCGAGGCUAGAGACAGGUAGAGGCGCACGGAAUUCCGGGUGUAGUGGUGAAAUGCGUAGAUAUCCGGAGGAACACCAGUGGCGAAGGCGGUACGCUGGGCCUGGUCUGACGCUAAGACGCGAAAGCAUGGGGAGCGAACGGGAUUAGAAACCCCGGUAGUCCAUGCCGUAAACGAUGCUAACUAGGUGUUGCGGGUAAAAGACCGGCAGUGCCGGAGUUAACGCGAUAAGUUAGCCACCUGGGGACUACGGUCGCAAGGCUAAAACUCAAAGGAAUUGACGGGGGCCCGCACAAGCAGCGGAGCGUGUGGUUUAAUUCGAGGCUACACGAAGAACCUUACCUGGGCUUGACAUGACGGUGGUAGGGAACCGAAAGGGGACCGACCUUCGGGAGCUGCCACAGGUGCUGCAUGGCUGUCGUCAGCUCGUGUCGUGAGAUGUUCGGUUAAGUCCGGUAACGAGCGCAACCCUCAUCGCUAGUUACAAGUGUCUAGCGAGACUGCCCGUUCAACGCGGGAGGAAGGCGGGGAUGACGUCAAGUCAGCAUGGCCUUUAUGUCCAGGGCUACACACACGCUACAAUGGCCGGUACAAUGGGUCGCCAACCCGCGAGGGGGAGCCAAUCCACCAAAGCCGGUCACAGUUCGAAUUGCAGGCUGCAACCCGCCUGCAUGAAGUCGGAGUUGCUAGUAACCGCAGGUCAGCUAUACUGCGGUGAAUACGUUCCCGGGCCUUGUACACACCGCCCGUCACGUCAUGGGAGCUGGUCAUGCCUGAAGUCGGUGAGCCAACCGCAAGGAGGCAGCCGCCUAAGG